GUUCCCGCCCGUGCCGGAAGCCUCGGCGCGGCAGCGCGACACGAGGCUCCCCAGACCCAGCCGGGCAGUGCCGCUAGCGAGGCGGGCAGAGCUGCCCGGGUGGCACCCCGCGCACCCUGUGUUCCGGAGGCACCGUGAAGAAGCCCUCCUUACGAAUACACUUCAGACGGAUCUGCUCGCACUCCAGAUCUGGCUCCGCCAUGCCGAGCGCUGGCCCCGCCUCUCUUGCGCGCAGGCGCAGACGCGGACGGCCCCGCGGCGCAGGCGCGAAAGCUCCUUCCCGGGCUUCCUCUCCUUAGCAACGGUUACCAAGAGACGCUCCCGCGGGUCCGCCCUAGGCGCUGGGCUCCAGGGAUCGGCUCCGACUGCUGCAGUUCGGGCCUUAUUUUAGGGUGAAGCCCGGGCAGCCGACCCGGCUGCGCCGUAGUGGGAGGCCACGGCGAUUACCCAGGUGAAGGUCUUCCAGCCCAGCCCUGGAAGGUGGAAAAAGAAAAGUUGACAUGGAAUGUUUAGGAAGCACCAUUGGUCCAGGUCCAGGAUCGGGGCAGCCAGCAUGUCCUCUAAUCUGGCUUCACUGUUGAAAUCCAGUCGAGCAAGCAGGGCCCAAACCACUGCGAGACCAGCUCGGUCGGGCCCAAACCACCGCCCACUGCGAGACCAGCUCGGUCGGGCCCAAACCACCGCCCACUGCGGGACCAGCUCGGUCGGGCCCAAACCACCGCCCACUGCGGGACCAGCUCGGUCGGGCCCAAACCACUGCCCACUGCGGGACCAGCUCGGUCGUGGAGACCCUAACCCAGCGGCGCUAGAGGAAUUAAAGAAACACACACAGAAAUAUAGGGUGUGGAGUGGGAAAUCAGGGGUCUCACAGCCUUCGAAGCUGAAAGCCUCGAACAGAGAUUUACCCACAUAUUUAUUGACAGCAAGCCAGUGAUAAGCAUUGUUUCUAUAGAUUAUAGAUUAAAAGCACUUCUUACGGGAAAUAAAGGGAUGGGUCUGGCUAGUUAUCUGCAGCAGGAGCACGUCCUUAAGGCACAGAUCGCUCAUGCUAUUGUUUGUGGUUCAGGAACUCCUUUAAGCGGUUUUCCGCCCUGGGUGGGCCAGGUGUUCCUUGCCCUCAUUCCAGUGUGGGAGUCAUGGCCAUCAUGAGCAUGUCACAGUGCAGCAGAGAUUUUGUUUAUGGCCAGUUUUGCGGCCAGUUGAUGGCCAGAUUUGGGGGCCUCUUCCCAACAGCCCACAGCCAGACCUAGACUCCAUUCAGAUUGGUUUUGAUCAGCAUGUAGAAAAUGGGGGAGUUGAGUGUGGUAUACAAAAUGGGGGUGUUGGCCAGGCGCGUGAGCCACCGAGCCCGGCCACAAAAAUUGUAUCAUUGAGAAAAUUAUGCCAAUUGGGGAAGAUCUGAUGUAGCCAAACCCCCUUUGACCUUUAGCCUUCAAGCUGCCUUCAGUUAUUCUUGGGCUAGCUUUGGGAGAUGUUUAUAGUUUACAUGAUAAUAGCCCCUCCCCAAAACUCAACUGUAUUUGUAAAACUAAUGAGGGGCCACCAGGCUAGGGAGAGGAGAGGAGCCUGAAUUUGGCUAAGAUGUAGACAUAAACAAUUAUCAGCCAUUAUUCCAGAGGUCCUGCAGAUAACAAUGCUAUUGUAACCUAAGAUUGGCCUUUUGCAGUACCUCGCAAGGGUUUUUUGCAUGUCUGAUACCUACGGCUCCAACAGGACCCACUGACUGAUGAUGGCUCCACCUGGACCUGCCAACUACUCCUGCAGCCCCACCCAGAAGCGGUUCAGCACACGGGAGGAUCCUGUCUCACACCCUACGAUGGCCCCCCGCCCCCACAACCCAUCAGCAGCAAGCACCCACUGCCAAGCUACCCCACCCCUUCCCCCAAACUACCUUUGGAACACCCUAGUCCCCAAAUUCUUGGGGAGACUGAUUUCAGUAAUCAUCAAAUUCUGGUCUCCCAUUCACUUGUCUCUGUGUGAAUUAAACCCUUUCUCUAUUGCA
Molecule: long non-coding RNA, 2002 nt
Filed under: Homo sapiens (human)
Lineage: Eukaryota; Metazoa; Chordata; Mammalia; Primates; Hominidae
Description: long independently transcribed non-coding RNA 2166, transcript variant 4 (LINC02166)
Source: RNAcentral